Molecule: ribosomal RNA, 240 nt
Filed under: Piaractus mesopotamicus (pacu)
Lineage: Eukaryota; Metazoa; Chordata; Actinopteri; Characiformes; Serrasalmidae
Description: partial 18S ribosomal RNA
Rfam family: Eukaryotic small subunit ribosomal RNA
Source: RNAcentral
UACCACAUCCAAAGAAGGCAGCAGGCGCGCAAAUUACCCAUUACCGACACGGUGAGGUAGUGACGAAAAAUAACGAUACAGGUCUCUUUCGAGGCCCUGUAAUCGGAAUGAGCGUAUCCUAAACCCAUGGGUGAGGACCCAUUGGAGGGCAAGUCUGGUGCCAGCAGCCGCGGUAAUUCCAGCUCCAAUAGCGUAUAUUAAAGUUGCUGCAGUUAAAAAGCUYGUAGUUGGAUCUCGGGA